UAUAUCCUUAUAAUUGCAGAAUUUCCACCAUGAAUGUUGUAUCUGUAACCAGCAAUACAUUUUUCACAGCUAAGUAUAUCACCACUGAAUAGCCAUUCUUGUCAGAGCACUGCAGGAUUUCGCUGUGGUUUUUCAGGAAUACCAACUGUGGCCAUAGAAGCAUAUUUUCCUUGGAAACUAGAUAUUAUAAAUAUGAUAGAGGAAUAUCUAAUAUCUUCAAUUCACAUCCUAGUAAUAAGCUAUAGUUUGCUAUAUGAUAUGAAGUCAACAAUGUAAUCUAUUUAAAGCUCAGUUAAAAUGUUACUUUUAUUUUUAAGCAGAAUCAACUAGAGAGGGAAAAGUUCAAGGACAGAAAGAAUACAGAGGAAGAGGAGUGUUAAUGAAUUAUUGAAUCAUGUAUCCCUUUUCUGCUAGGAACAAUGGGCUCGCCCAGGAAGUAGUCCUAAAUUCGUUCUGGAACAAAGAACAGGAACUGCCGGCUCAGUGUUCAGUAUUCAGACUGCAGAUCCAUGACUCACCAGUGGACCACCUGGCUAAAUGAACACAGAGGAUCUGGUCUGCUGCUGGCCAUUCCCCUACAUCUUGCUGAUUCUGCCUCUAGUUUGCAUCUGGAAAUUCCAUUUUCCUUUAAAGCAUGUGUAAAUCAAUGUCACUGUCCACUUUUCAAUACAACUUCAAAUGAGUUUCUUAGCUGAGAUUGUUUUUCAGAACAAUGCACUGCAGUUCAAAUUUUUUUUUCUUUGCUUUUUAGGGUUGCACCCACAGCAUAUGGAGGUUCCU
Molecule: non-coding RNA, 780 nt
Organism: Sus scrofa (pig)
Lineage: Eukaryota; Metazoa; Chordata; Mammalia; Artiodactyla; Suidae
Source: RefSeq, a predicted model, not a curated record